GGGACACGUGGUAUCCUGUCUGAAUAUGGGGGGACCAUCCUCCAAGGCUAAAUACUCCUGACUGACCGAUAGUGAACCAGUACCGUGAGGGAAAGGCGAAAAGAACCCCGGCGAGGGGAGUGAAAAAGAACCUGAAACCGUGUACGUACAAGCAGUGGGAGCACGCUUAGGCGUGUGACUGCGUACCUUUUGUAUAAUGGGUCAGCGACUUAUAUUCUGUAGCAAGGUUAACCGAAUAGGGGAGCCGAAGGGAAACCGAGUCUUAACUGGGCGUUAAGUUGCAGGGUAUAGACCCGAAACCCGGUGAUCUAGCCAUGGGCAGGUUGAAGGUUGGGUAACACUAACUGGAGGACCGAACCGACUAAUGUUGAAAAAUUAGCGGAUGACUUGUGGCUGGGGGUGAAAGGCCAAUCAAACCGGGAGAUAGCUGGUUCUCCCCGAAAGCUAUUUAGGUAGCGCCUCGUGAAUUCAUCUCCGGGGGUAGAGCACUGUUUCGGCAAGGGGGUCAUCCCGACUUACCAACCCGAUGCAAACUGCGAAUACCGGAGAAUGUUAUCACGGGAGACACACGGCGGGUGCUAACGUCCGUCGUGAAGAGGGAAACAACCCAGACCGCCAGCUAAGGUCCCAAAGUCAUGGUUAAGUGGGAAACG
RNAcentral lists this ribosomal RNA (653 nucleotides) under Escherichia coli. RNAcentral's name for it is "partial 23S ribosomal RNA". It matches the Rfam family "Bacterial large subunit ribosomal RNA", at positions 419 to 1072 of the family's 2925-position model. Lineage: Bacteria; Pseudomonadati; Pseudomonadota; Gammaproteobacteria; Enterobacterales; Enterobacteriaceae. The record is from RNAcentral.